UUCAUACCUUAUUUCACUAUCUCAAUUCCAUUGGAUUUUUCUUUACAUCUCAUUCCAAUAGUUCAUUUCAAUUCAUAUACAAUUCAUUUCAUUUAAUUUAUAUUCAAUAUAAAUUUUAUUGCAAUUUGUACUCACUAAUAUCAUAUAACAAAAUUUACUCUUUAUCACAUCAUGAACUUUGGGCUCAUAUCUUUAAAUCUCUUAUUUCGAUUUCCAAUUCACACAUCAAUUCACAACUUCACUUUUUCGUUUCUUCCCAUAGCUCAAUCAAUCACAUUUAUUCAAUUUUCUCAUUUCAAUUAUUUACCCCUAUUAACAAGACUCGGACCUUGGCGGAUACACGGAUCCAAUCAAACACACCAAAAUGGCACCCAGUGCCUCAUCGGAUAGUUCGAAGCAAUAGUUGACACCCAGUGUCUCAUCGGCCCAGCCGAAGUAAAGUUGGUACCCAGUACCUCAUCGAAUCUAUCCGAAGAAAUAUAGUGACACCCAGUGUCUCAUCGACUCAAGGUCGAAGUAUCCCUGAACUCUUCCAAUCCUAUGGCAUGCCAACUAUAUCCGACUCAGCCCGACUAGUUAAUAGGGUUUCCGAAUCACAUUUCAAUUCAAUCACUUUCUCAUACUUUCAAUUCAAAUCAUUCCCAUUUAAUCACCAUUUGUUUCAAUACAUUUUUCUAUUUCAAAUUCACUUUCGAUUUAAUCGCAAUUCAACUCAGAUUCACUUCCCACUUUCAAAUCAAUAUACAAUUCAAUACCAAUACAUAUUUCAGAUAUUCACAUAUAAUCAUACUUCGAUUCAAUUCAAACCACUUUUCAAUCAAUACACAAUUCACAUAUUCACA
Molecule: long non-coding RNA, 842 nt
Filed under: Gossypium barbadense (sea-island cotton)
Lineage: Eukaryota; Viridiplantae; Streptophyta; Magnoliopsida; Malvales; Malvaceae
Description: long non-coding RNA (GBAR_LNC020443)
Source: RNAcentral